CGCAUCUGUGCAUGCAGCAUAUCAAUAAGCGGAGGAAAAGAAACUAACAAGGAUUCCCCUAGUAACGGCGAGUGAAGCGGGAAGAGCUCAAAUUUGAAAUCUUAAAGGGUUUCCCUUUACGAAUUGUAGUUUAAAGAAGUGUUUUCUGUUGAGGUUUUGGUAAAAGUUCUUUGGAAUAGGACAUCAUAGAGGGUGAGAAUCCCGUAUUUGACCUUUACUUUCAACUUUGUGAUACACUUUCAAAGAGUCGGAUUGUUUGGGAAUGCAGUCCAAAAUGGGUGGUAAAUUUCAUCUAAAGCUAAAUAUUGGCGAGAGACCGAUAGCGAACAAGUACCGUGAGGGAAAGAUGAAAAGAACUUUGAAAAGAGAGUUAAACAGUACGUGAAAUUGUCAAAAGGGAAGCGUUUGACACCAGUGCUGUUUUUCUGAAAAUCAAUUAAAGAACUGUUUAUGCUAAGUUGUUUAGACUCUAUCAGCUAACUGUUUAGUUUUGAGCUUUUCUUUAAUGCACUUUUCAGUUAACAAGUCAACAUCAAUUUCUUUUGCUGUAAAAAAGCUUGAGGAAGGUGGCUUGAGAUUCGUCUUAAGUGUUUAUAGCCUCUUGCCUAUGCAGUCGGAGAGAUUGAGGUCUGCAGCGUAGAUCCUUCGGGGCUAAAUGCAUUUGUGCUAAGUUAUAGCAUUUUAUAGACAACUUGUUGACUAUGAUUUGUCUUGUAGCUUACUCGCUUAUGUUAUUUUACCUACGCUUAGGAUGUUGACGCAUGAGAUAUACGC
Molecule: ribosomal RNA, 774 nt
Filed under: uncultured Neocallimastigales
Lineage: Eukaryota; Fungi; Neocallimastigomycota; Neocallimastigomycetes; Neocallimastigales
Description: partial large subunit ribosomal RNA
Rfam family: Eukaryotic large subunit ribosomal RNA
Source: RNAcentral